Molecule: ribosomal RNA, 201 nt
Filed under: uncultured prokaryote
Description: partial 16S ribosomal RNA
Rfam family: Bacterial small subunit ribosomal RNA
Source: RNAcentral
UACGUAGGAGGCGAGCGUUGUCCGGAGUUACUGGGCGUAAAGGGUGCGCAGGCGGCCGCGCGCGUGAGGGGUGAAAUCUCCCGGCUCAACUGGGAGGGGGCCUUUCAGACGGCGUGGCUUGAGGCUCGGAGGGGGGCGUGGAAUUCCGGGUGGAGCGGUGAAAUGCGUAGAGAUCUGGAGGAACACCGACGGCGAAGGCAG